GACGAACGCUGGCGGCGUGCUUAACACAUGCAAGUCGAACGGAAAGGCCCUGCUUUUGUGGGGUGCUCGAGUGGCGAACGGGUGAGUAACACGUGAGUAACCUUCCCUUGACUUUGGGAUAACUUCAGGAAACUGGGGCUAAUACCGGAUAGGAGCUCCUGCUGCAUGGUGGGGGUUGGAAAGUUUCGGCGGUGGGGGGUGGACUCGCGGCUUAUCAGCUUGUUGGUUGGGUAGUGGCUUACCAAGGCUUUGACGGGUAGCCGGCCUGAGAGGGUGACCGGCCACAUUGGGACUGAGAUACGGCCCAGACUCCUACGGGAGGCAGCAGUGGGGAAUAUUGCACAAUGGGCGGAAGCCUGAUGCAGCAACGCCGCGUGCGGGAUGACGGCCUUCGGGUUGUAAACCGCUUUCGCCUGUGACGAAGCGUGAGUGACGGUAAUGGGUAAAGAAGCACCGGCUAACUACGUG
Molecule: ribosomal RNA, 468 nt
Filed under: uncultured bacterium
Lineage: Bacteria
Description: partial 16S ribosomal RNA
Rfam family: Bacterial small subunit ribosomal RNA
Source: RNAcentral